RNAcentral lists this ribosomal RNA (228 nucleotides) under uncultured bacterium. RNAcentral's name for it is "partial 16S ribosomal RNA". It matches the Rfam family "Bacterial small subunit ribosomal RNA", at positions 524 to 751 of the family's 1533-position model. The record is from RNAcentral.
UACGGAGGGUGCGAGCGUUGUCCGGAAUCACUGGGCGUAAAGGGCGCGUAGGCGGCCUGAUAAGUAGGGGGUGAAAUCCUGCGGCUUAACCGCAGGGCUGCCUUCUAAACUGUCAGGCUAGAGCACAGUAGAGGCAGGUGGAAUUCCCGGUGUAGCGGUGGAAUGCGUAGAGAUCGGGAAGAACAUCAGUGGCGAAGGCGGCCUGCUGGGCUGUUGCUGACGCUGAGG